UUUAAAAAAAAAAAAAAAUUUAUUUUCAAGUACAUGAUAGAAAAGUUGACCAUGGAACAUUGGAACUCUUUGUUUGUAGAAGUUUAAGAAAUGUGAAGUCAUAGAAAUAGAUCUGUACAUUUCGAAAUCUCAUAGAAAAAACAUCAUCAUCAAAAAAGAAGGGAAAAAAAAACAAUAGAACUAAACAAUAACAUAGCAACAAGCCGACACAACGUAGGCAUGAGAAACAUCUGGUUUAACAAUCUUUAUUCAAAGCACUUUAGUUUAUGGGAAAAAGGUAAAUGGGCCCUUGCCACGGUAUAUUUGCUCCAUACAUGUAGAGACAGACAUUGGUUUUAAGACAUAUAAAUUGUAUAGACAGACAAAUGUCUGACUGGAUGAAAGCAUUGGUAAGAAAUAUAGACAUGAAAUACAUUUGUUUCAUAGUCAAAACACGUUAUAACAAAGUAAUGUCUGUCGGCUUUAUCUAGUUCAGUUUAUACAACAUCAACAUGUAUGUAACUUAGCUAAAAACAGGGCCGGAUCUAUGAUUGUACAACAGUGCAGCCGCUAAUGGCCUCUUUCUCAAAAGGGGUUCUUCACAAACUUUUAGAAAAAAUAAAGUUAAACAAGUAUGAAUACUAAUUAGAAGAAAACAGAAGGCGAAUGAGAUUAAAUUGAAAAGGCCUCUAAUGUGUCAACACCCUAGCGUUAAUUAAGCCUUUUUUAGUGAGUAAAGGCCUCUACAAAAAUGUUUCCCACGGCGCCAACUUACUUAAAUCCGGCUCUGGUCAAAAAGAACUUCAAAAAAAAAAAAAAAAAAAAAAAAAG
Molecule: non-coding RNA, 810 nt
Organism: Biomphalaria pfeifferi
Lineage: Eukaryota; Metazoa; Mollusca; Gastropoda; Planorbidae
Source: the annotation of a GenBank genome assembly